RNAcentral lists this ribosomal RNA (253 nucleotides) under uncultured bacterium. RNAcentral's name for it is "partial 16S ribosomal RNA". It matches the Rfam family "Archaeal small subunit ribosomal RNA", at positions 474 to 727 of the family's 1478-position model. The record is from RNAcentral.
UACCAGCACCCCGAGUGGUCGGGACGAUUAUUGGGCCUAAAGCAUCCGUAGCCGGUCUUGCAAGUCUUCCGUUAAAUCCAGCUGCUUAACAGAUGGGCUGCGGAGGAUACUACAAGGCUAGGAGGCGGGAGAGGCAAGCGGUACUCAGUGGGUAGGGGUAAAAUCCGUUGAUCCAUUGAAGACCACCAGUGGCGAAGGCGGCUUGCCAGAAUGCGCUCGACGGUGAGGGAUGAAAGCUGGGGGAGCAAACCGG